This is a long non-coding RNA of Telopea speciosissima, 303 nucleotides long. RefSeq lists it as uncharacterized. The record is from RefSeq and is a predicted model, not a curated record. Lineage: Eukaryota; Viridiplantae; Streptophyta; Magnoliopsida; Proteales; Proteaceae. The transcript has 4 exons.
GGGGACCGUUCAACACCGAAUUUAAGCAGGAAGGGGGUUUGUUAUCUGAUAAUGGAGAAAAUUCGGGCGACGAAGUUUCAGGAAUGUCUGUUCCCAUGGUGGAGACCAAGACGAAUAACAGUGAGGAAGGCAGGGAAGAAAAAGAAGAAGUAGAUGAAGGAGAAGAAGAGGAGCAGGUAGCAAAUGAUCAAGAACAUGAGUUCUCUAUUAGUGAUUUUGUAUGGGCCAAAAUUAAAAGUCACCCAUGGUGGCCUGGGCAGAUCUAUGAUCCUUCAGAUGCAUCAAAGUUUGCUGCACAGUGCA